This 497-nucleotide ribosomal RNA is filed under the name uncultured bacterium. RNAcentral's name for it is "partial 16S ribosomal RNA". It matches the Rfam family "Bacterial small subunit ribosomal RNA", at positions 28 to 507 of the family's 1533-position model. The record is from RNAcentral.
GAUGAACGCUGGCGGCGUGCCUAAUACAUGCAAGUCGAGCGAACGGACGAGAAGCUUGCUUUUCUGAUGUUAGCGGCGGACGGGUGAGUAACACGUGGAUAACCUACCUAUAAGACUGGGAUAACUUCGGGAAACCGGAGCUACUACCGGAUAAUAUUUUGAACCGCAUGGUUCAAAAGUGAAAGACGGUCUUGCUGUCACUUAUAGAUGGAUCCGCGCUGCAUUAGCUAGUUGGUAAGGUAACGGCUUACCAAGGCAACGAUGGAUAGCCGACCUGGGAGGGUGAUCGGCGACACUGGAACUGAGACGCGGUCCAGACUCCUACGGGAGGCAGCAGUAGGGAAUCUUCCGCAAUGGGCGAAAGCCUGACGGAGCAACGCCGCGUGAGUGAUGAAGGUCUUCGGAUCGUAAAACUCUGUUAUUAGGGAAGAACAUAUGUGUAAGUAACUGUGCACAUCUUGACGGUACCUAAUCAGAAAGCCACGGCUAACUACGUG